UUUGUUUCUUUGUUUCUUUCUUUUUUUUUUUUUUUACUUAAAGAAGAAGCAACAUUCUUUCAAUUAAACAUUGUGGAGUGGUCCUAUGCGUCUGCAUCUUUGUUCCCCUGAGAUCCUGGUAAAGGGAUGGAAGGAAGAGAGCACCAUACAUGUCUGGAGGCUUGAGGAGGAGGACUGGGUAUCUUUUCUGACUCAUGGAGGAAAGGAGAUUACCCUCUCCAAAGUGGAAAAGAAAUUACCCUCUCCAGAGUGGGAAUGGGACUUAGACCAUCAGCUGUCUGGUUCUCAGAAUGAUGCUGCUGGCUCCCCUGGGUCCCUAACCUUCCAGGUGGCAGAUGUGGGACUUCUCUACCAUAACUAGGUGAGCCAACGCCUUGUUAUAAGUCCCUUUAUAUAUUAAAAG
Molecule: long non-coding RNA, 403 nt
Filed under: Mustela putorius furo (domestic ferret)
Lineage: Eukaryota; Metazoa; Chordata; Mammalia; Carnivora; Mustelidae
Description: lncRNA (ENSMPUG00000025380.1)
Source: RNAcentral